This 387-nucleotide unclassified non-coding RNA is filed under the name Zea mays. RNAcentral describes it as "misc RNA Zm00001eb372250". Lineage: Eukaryota; Viridiplantae; Streptophyta; Magnoliopsida; Poales; Poaceae. The record is from RNAcentral.
UUGGGUGCUGCCGCGAAGGUGCCUCCGCCGCUGCUGCAAUCGGCUCCUCGGUGCGACCUGCUGCUCCUCUGCCCGAGUGCGGCUAGCUCGCCGGCGGCCCGGCUUGUUGCUUUUCUACUUGAGCGCGGCAGGCGACUGGUGCUCCCUCAGUCCGGCAACCUCCCGGCUCCCUGCCUGCGCACUGCCGACCUCCACGGAUCCUUCGCGGGCCUGCGCCGGCGCGUCGUUCGCUCCUCGCCGGCGACUCGGCUCCAGCCUCCACUCCACGACCGCCGGCGGCGGCUACACGUCCGGCUUCCACGGUUCCACACCGUCAGUCCAUCACAGUGCCGCGCCGGCCUCCCCUCCCUGGUCAAGGCCGCCACCGCACCUCCAGCCACGCACUGA